This 53-nucleotide non-coding RNA is filed under the name unclassified sequences. RNAcentral describes it as "Mu-gpT-DE RNA". It matches the Rfam family "Mu-gpT-DE RNA". The record is from Rfam by way of RNAcentral.
CCCUGACAGUUACAUAAUGUGACUGACACUUGCCACGACAGGAGAAUCUCAUG